This is a long non-coding RNA of Microplitis demolitor, 434 nucleotides long. RefSeq lists it as uncharacterized. NCBI's taxonomy places the organism in Eukaryota, Metazoa, Arthropoda, Insecta, Hymenoptera, Braconidae. The record is from RefSeq and is a predicted model, not a curated record. The transcript has 3 exons.
AAAAAAAAUACAUAAAAAACAAUUUAUAUGAACAAACUUCAGUUAGUUUCAUCUAAAAAUAUUCAGCAUUACUUAUUUGAACUGAAACUUUAGUCAACGAUAAUUGUUCAUAACUUUGAUAAAAAAUGAUUUCGAAAACUUUAUUGACUUUUUUCCUUGGAUUAUUUGUUAUAACAGCAAUUAUGGGUAAUAUUACUCAUCCUCAAUGCCGUUCUACUAGUGAUAUUUGUAAAUUUGAUCACGAAUGCUGUUUGCCAAAUAAGUGUACAUCGUACUCAAUAUGGAAAUUUUGCUACGAUAAAGUGCUUGUUAUUGAUGAACGUCAUUAACAUACAGAGAAUAAAUAAAAUAUAAACAAAUAAUCAAAGACUCUUAUAAAUUGUUUAUCUUUGAUGUUAAUAAAAGUUUUACUCCCCAAAAAAUACCAAGAUUUC